GAUGCAGCCAUGCCGCGUGUAUGAAGAAGGCCUUCGGGUUGUAAAGUACUUUCAGCAGUGAGGAAGGGGGGURCGUUAAUAGCGUGCUUAUUUUGACGUUAGCUGCAGAAGAAGCACCGGCUAACUCCGUGCCAGCAGCCGCGGUAAUACGGAGGGUGCGAGCGUUAAUCGGAAUUACUGGGCGUAAAGCGCAUGCAGGUGGUUUGUUAAGUCAGAUGUGAAAGCCCGGGGCUCAACCUCGGAAUUGCAUUUGAAACUGGCAGACUAGAGUACUGUAGAGGGGGGUAGAAUUUCAGGUGUAGCGGUGAAAUGCGUAGAGAUCUGAAGGAAUACCGGUGGCGAAGGCGGCCCCCUGGACAGAUACUGACACUCAGAUGCGAAAGCGUGGGGAGCAAACAGGAUUAGAUACCCUGGUAGUCCACGCCGUAAACGAUGUCUACUUGGAGGUUGUGGCCUUGAGCCGUGGCUUUCGGAGCUAACGCGUUAAGUA
This 490-nucleotide ribosomal RNA is filed under the name Vibrio sp. Its description in RNAcentral is "bacterial SSU rRNA". It matches the Rfam family "Bacterial small subunit ribosomal RNA", at positions 385 to 866 of the family's 1533-position model. The record is from RNAcentral. Lineage: Bacteria; Pseudomonadati; Pseudomonadota; Gammaproteobacteria; Vibrionales; Vibrionaceae.